Saccostrea cuccullata (small rock oyster) is the source of this 1179-nucleotide long non-coding RNA. RefSeq lists it as uncharacterized. The record is from RefSeq and is a predicted model, not a curated record. The transcript is spliced from 3 exons. Lineage: Eukaryota; Metazoa; Mollusca; Bivalvia; Ostreida; Ostreidae.
UUUAUGAAAAAUCCCAAGAUAGGUUUAUAAAAUAUUAACAAUAUUUUGAAAGCAAACAUACUUGAUUAUUUAUUCAUAAUUAUUUUGGGUGUGUGUUUUUUGAUUUAAGAAAAUAAAAUGCAUUUGAAAAUUUUAAAAAACCAGCAUUUCACAAAAAUAUUAUCUCCCUUUGUAGAACUCUCUAGUUCCGACAGUGAAAGAAGAUAAAAACAAAAGUAUUUGUAAGCAUGACGUUUUGCCGGUUUUGAGUUCCUUUUCACAAACCAUGUGUUUUACUGAUAUUUUUAAACAAAACUGCUAAGAUUAUACAGUAUAGCUUCCUUGGCAGAUGUAAUAUUCUUCAUUCUGAAGACAUUCAACAACUCGUGAAUUUCAGCAAUGGCCAUGUAAUGUCUAAAGUAGGUCGUAUGUCAUGUGUUACACUUGCUAAAUACAGUGAAUGACUAUCGAAUGUGGACGUUAUUUUAAGUUUUCUUCAAAAUGAAAUACAAAGAGGUCCAGAAGCAAGUUAAGUCAGAUUCCAAACGUUCUAAGUUCCCACCUACAUAUUGAAAAGACCAGAGGAGAUAGACCAAGAAUUCCCCUCCAAACAGAACAUGUGAAAAUGUGGAAGCAGGUCAUUUGAUUGGUCAAGCUGGUGCAACGCUACCAGUGUUAUACACCAUGCAUGUACCCAAUGCUGCUGUGUGACCAUGUGAGGGACAUCACAAGGAAGGGGAAGAUAUUUAAAUCAUUCAUAGAGCCUUCAACAUCUUAUUAAAACCAAAUUAUAAAGAGAACUCAAGAAGCCAGAGUUUUACAUUUUUGUCAUGACAAGUCAUGACAUUCAGCAAAUGAAUCUUUAUCCGAUGAGAAUUAGUGAGAGUUUUCAGAGAAUAGGAGAUACUGGUGGGACACCUUCACUAAGUCUGCUAAAUUAUACUACGUACAACAAUAUAAUGACAAAACUGACUGCUGCAAUUCUCUCAAAGAACAUCAAAGAAAGAGUGAAGAGUCUUACAGUAUCUGAAGAAAAUCCAAGUCUUGCCUAAAAUUAUACCUGAGGGAAUGCAUAAUUACAUGGGUGCACUAUGCACUACUUUGCAUAUGUUUCAAAUAAUUUUUAAAGAAUAUUAUAAUAAUUAAUGUACAUUCUUAAAUAAAAGGUAAAAAGUGUAUAAACAGAAGUCUCAUUGCAUG